RNAcentral lists this ribosomal RNA (423 nucleotides) under uncultured Bacteroides sp. RNAcentral describes it as "bacterial SSU rRNA". It matches the Rfam family "Bacterial small subunit ribosomal RNA", at positions 353 to 772 of the family's 1533-position model. The record is from RNAcentral. Lineage: Bacteria; Pseudomonadati; Bacteroidota; Bacteroidia; Bacteroidales; Bacteroidaceae. RNAcentral also lists the same sequence under 1 other name.
AGUGAGGAAUAUUGGUCAAUGGACGCAAGUCUGAACCAGCCAAGUCGCGUGAAGGAUGAAGGUAUUAUGUAUUGUAAACUUCUUUUGUCAGGGAAUAAUGACCGCUACGUGUAGCGGAGAGGAAUGUACCUGACGAAUAAGCAUCGGCUAACUCCGUGCCAGCAGCCGCGGUAAUACGGAGGAUGCGAGCGUUAUCCGGAUUUAUUGGGUUUAAAGGGUGCGUAGGCGGUUUGUUAAGUCAGUGGUGAAAGUUUGCGGCUCAACCGUAAAAUUGCCAUUGAAACUGGCGAACUUGAGUACAGUAGAGGUAGGCGGAAUUCGUGGUGUAGCGGUGAAAUGCUUAGAUAUCACGAAGAACUCCGAUUGCGAAGGCAGCUUGCUGGACUGUAACUGACGCUGAGGCACGAAAGCGUGGGGAUCAAA